Molecule: long non-coding RNA, 245 nt
Organism: Clupea harengus (Atlantic herring)
Lineage: Eukaryota; Metazoa; Chordata; Actinopteri; Clupeiformes; Clupeidae
Exons: 3
Source: RefSeq, a predicted model, not a curated record
CUCUCUGUGAAUCCAGUGGUGAGGGCUUUCAGGAGGAUGGCUGUGUUGAGAUCUCUCCAUCUUGUGGUUUUGUGGGCAGCAGUGUCCUUUUCUAUGGCCUUUAACAUAGACGUUGCAGAACCUAAGAUUUACAAUGGAUCAGGACCCCGUGAAGACUUCUUUGGAUACAAGGCAUUGCACUUUCAGUCUGGGACAGAAAAAGGGUUUGUUGUCAGUGCACCACUUCAAAGAAAUGGAACCGGAGG